This 460-nucleotide ribosomal RNA is filed under the name uncultured bacterium. Its description in RNAcentral is "partial 16S ribosomal RNA". It matches the Rfam family "Bacterial small subunit ribosomal RNA", at positions 338 to 795 of the family's 1533-position model. The record is from RNAcentral.
CCUACGGGAGGCAGCAGUGAGGAAUAUUGGUCAAUGGGCGGAAGCCUGAACCAGCCAAGUCGCGUGAGGGAAUAAGGCCCUACGGGUCGUAAACCUCUUUUGCCGGGGAGCAAGGGCCGGGAGGAGUUCCGGUCCGGAGAGUACCCGGAGAAAAAGCAUCGGCUAACUCCGUGCCAGCAGCCGCGGUAAUACGGAGGAUGCGAGCGUUAUCCGGAUUUAUUGGGUUUAAAGGGUGCGUAGGCGGGCUUUUAAGUCAGCGGUAAAAAUUCGGGGCGCAACCCCGUCCGGCCGUUGAAACUGGGGGCCUUGAGUGGGCGAGAAGAAGGCGGAAUGCGUGGUGUAGCGGUGAAAUGCAUAGAUAUCACGCAGAACCCCGAUUGCGAAGGCAGCCUUCCGGCGCCCUACUGACGCUGAGGCACGAAAGUGCGGGGAUCGAACAGGAUUAGAUACCCCAGUAGUC